CCAUAUCCAACAACAAAAUUUUAAUGGAACUAGAAAACCGCUGACUGAAGCAAAAUUCUUUUCAGUGUAGAAUCAUUCAGCAGCUUUCCGGUCCAGCUUCCCAAUCCAGUCCAACUCCGACUCUCUCCAGUAGGACCAUCCGUAUUUGAAUCACUUAGGAAAUCACAUACAUACCCUAAACCUUAUGAAAAAUCAACCAAAUCCCAUUGCUUUAAGUCUAUCUAGAUCUGUGAGUCCCAAAUUCCUUCAUGUCUAUCACAAGCUGAGGUAAUAUUACCAAUUAUUCUGGUUACCCCCCAAAAAUUCGCCUUAGACCUUGUCAAAAACUUCCUAACUCGAGGCACCAUCACAGGUCCAUAAAACAACAAAAUGCCC
RNAcentral lists this long non-coding RNA (375 nucleotides) under Amborella trichopoda. RNAcentral's name for it is "long non-coding RNA (ATRI_LNC000316)". The record is from RNAcentral. Lineage: Eukaryota; Viridiplantae; Streptophyta; Magnoliopsida; Amborellales; Amborellaceae.